CCUAAAACUUCCUCAGCGCCGUUUCAUUUCUCAAAGUCACUCUCUCAAACUCAAGUAACUCUCUCACUCUCUCGGAGAUCGCACUUCGUCUCCUCUCAGUCGGCUGGUCGUUGCCUCGUCGUGGUCGGUCCGCGGUCCGUUCAACUAGUGGUGCGUCGAUCGUCGGAGUCUUGGAGAAAAUGGAUGAGGUUGUAAAGGUGUCACCCCAUGCUCGUGCGAUAAGGGAUGUGGAUGACGAGGAGCUUCGUAGCUUCUUCUAUGGAAUGUCACCGUGGCAGUUUAUACUCAUUGUUGCUGCAAGCUCAGUAGGAGAGGAACUCUUCUAUCGAGCUGCUGUCCAGGUUAGUAGACGUAUUCAAUCAUUUGGGAAAUUUCCCAUUAGCUGAUGGAAAAUUUCAUAAUUUAUUUUCCUUUUUUAUGACUUUGCCACUUGUGAUAAUUGAAAAAGUUGUAUAUAGUACUGGAUAUUGUUUUUUGAAGUCUCUUUGGAGUGCUCCAAAAAGGGAUCUUGUAAAGUUUAAAAACACUAUUUCCAAUUGUAUGCAAAAAGACUAUCUGUAAUGACUAUUGCUUUGUUAUAUGUUCAGACUUGGUUACAUUUUAUAACAUAACAGACCAUACAUAUUUCUUAAACUUGAAAGAUGCCUUAAGAUGAUGUCCCUCAGAUGAACGACCUAAAAUGCAACUGUAGAUCAAAAUCUAUUCGCCAAGUGAUUUUUAAAUCUUGGAAAUUCGUUCUAUACCUUUUUUCUGUAUGUAUUGAAUAAUCUUUGUAUAUAAUAUAUAGUUCCGGUUGUUAAUGUUGUUUUAGUUAUUGUUGCAUAUUUCCUGAUUUAUAUCACUUUUCCAUAUUAUAACGUGUUUGGCGAGUUAUUAGUUGACUUGGAAUUUUCUGUUGAUUUCGUAAUUGUUCUGUUUUAUGUUCAACUGAAUUACGUCUUGAAAUUUUUGCUGGUUUGUUUUACAUUAAUUAGGGGAGAGUUUUCGUUGUUGCCGCUGCCGUUGCUCUGAGAAGUAAUGCUGGUUAUAUCUUGUAGUUGGUGUUGUAUUUGGAGGUUUUAAAGAUGAGUGAUAACUUGAUGGAUAAAGUGACCUCUUUGGGUGAGCGUCUGAGGAUCGGCGGGAGUGAAGUUAGUAAGAAAAUGAGUGCUAGUGUGAGUUCUAUGAGUGACAAAAUGAAGGAACUAUUCCAAGGGCCGAAUCAGGCAGAUAAGAUUGUUGAGGAGGCGACUGCAAAGAAUUAAUGAGUUUGAGAUACAUUGUAAGGAAUUUCUUGCUUUGAGUUCAGUCUCUGUUUUUUUGCUCCAAUUUUGUUCCAUUUCUUUCGAAGAAUUCAAUGAGUUGAUGAACUUGAGACACAUUGUGCAACUGGGUUAUUAGGGCUUGAAAUUGUUGAUGAAAUUGUACUGGUAAAAGCUUUAUAUUUCAGAUUAAAGAUGUUUCUUGAUUUUAUUUAUUGGUGAGCCUGAAAUUUUGUUGGUUUCCUUUUUCUUUGUAGUUAUAAUCGAGAGGGCAUGAGAAUAAGUGUGGAAGGAAUCCUACUGGGUUUUCAAUGGAAGUUUUUAGGGGUUGUCUCACUAACUAGGUCCGUUUCUUCGCAAUUUGUAGAACCUCAGGAUUCUCCAUCUGAUUUCAAGUUCAAAUUACUCUGAGGUAUAUUAGGUAUUUGUUUAAAAUCUGUAUUUUUAUCUUAUUUUGCAAAAUUGUUAUAAUGAACCUAAUUAAGGUUAGAAUUAAUAGGUGAAUCGUUACAACAAUCUAUUCAUCCUCCUUUCUCCUUAGAUUGCAUCUCUUUUUCUAGUUAAAUUUCUUUAAUUGCAUAUUUCGUUGGUAUGUUUUCAUAUUUUCUAGGAAUUUGCAAUUUAAGCCCUAUUUUCUGUUUAAAAUUAUAAUGUUAGUCCACAGAUUUUUGAGCAUUCUCUACGUUAAGGUUUUCAUCUAGGUUUCAGUAAUGACUUGGUUUUAAUAAUGUAUUUGUUUGAAAUUCUGUUUUUUUUUAGCGUAUGGCUUGGUUUCACCUAUUACUUCUAUGUUAGCUCUUGUCCUGUCUGAUGUUAAUUUCUCUUUGAAAUAUCAUUUGCCCAGGUUAUUCUUCUGUUUUAGUUUCUUUGGUCAAGUGUGAUGUAAG
Beta vulgaris subsp. vulgaris (sugar beet) is the source of this 2128-nucleotide long non-coding RNA. RefSeq lists it as uncharacterized. The record is from RefSeq and is a predicted model, not a curated record. The transcript has 4 exons. NCBI's taxonomy places the organism in Eukaryota, Viridiplantae, Streptophyta, Magnoliopsida, Caryophyllales, Amaranthaceae.